Molecule: transfer RNA, 64 nt
Filed under: Metrocoris sp. XD-2019
Lineage: Eukaryota; Metazoa; Arthropoda; Insecta; Hemiptera; Gerridae
Description: tRNA-Tyr
Source: RNAcentral
GAUAAAGUGUCUGAUUUAGGUUGUAAACUGUAAAUUUAUAUAAGAAUUUUUAAUUCCUUUAUCA